Molecule: long non-coding RNA, 884 nt
Organism: Panicum virgatum (switchgrass)
Lineage: Eukaryota; Viridiplantae; Streptophyta; Magnoliopsida; Poales; Poaceae
Exons: 2
Source: RefSeq, a predicted model, not a curated record
GCGUAGACGCCGGCAGUGGACGCGGGCUCUGCGCUCGUGGUGGGAUGGGAAGGGGGUGCUGCGCCCCAAAAACGAGACACUGCUGGACGCCGGGGCAAACUGGAUCGAGAGGAGGAUGGGGGCAUCAGCUGGCGGCGCAACACCUUCGCCGCUCCGAUUCGCCAUGUUCAUCCGCCGUCGGACCAAUCCAGCACCACCAUGAUGAUGCCCUCGUCGAGCCGAACCUGUUCUGCCGAUGUUCGUCGCCCCUACAUCGUCAGACACUGCCGCCCACGGAGCUGCCGCCGGCCAUCUCGUCUCCGGCCAAAUUCCUGCCAGCACAGGGCCCCUCCAACGUCGACCAAUAACACAUCCACCAAUGUGCAAGUGAUGAGAGAGACAAACCUACUCGAAGGGAACUUGUUUGAAGUGUAAAUAACUACCUUCAUUCUUUUUCAUACCUAGCUGGGAGGAUGGUGGCGAGGUCUAAGAGGGUGCCAGGUCUGUGGAUUGCAGCUCUCAGCGACAUCUCUCGUGAUCUGGUGCAGCGUCAUCUCCCUCCAGAUUUCCAGUCUCCACUUCCGCGUCCGCGUGAUGGUCUUUUUUUGCAGAUGAGACUCUGAGAUUUUGAACAUGUUUCGACAAGGCGAAACCCUAGAGAAUGUGAACAAGAAGAAGCUGAGGGGAGAGGUAAGGACGAAUGUCCUGACUUAUGAUAGACAUGGUUCUCACGGCAAUUUGUUCAUAUUAAGUUUGCAACUUGGUAUCUUAGAAAUGAGAUUGAACUAUGAGUCUGGAUGUUUGUGAAGAAACUGGUAUCACAAAACUAACAUAAUUCCAAUUAUUUUACGACGGGAUAUGAAAAGCGGCAAUAAUAUCAUGCCAAUGCUAAGAAAAUAUUUGCU